This 259-nucleotide ribosomal RNA is filed under the name uncultured prokaryote. RNAcentral's name for it is "partial 16S ribosomal RNA". It matches the Rfam family "Bacterial small subunit ribosomal RNA", at positions 524 to 782 of the family's 1533-position model. The record is from RNAcentral.
UACGUAGGUGGCAAGCGUUAUCCGGAAUUAUUGGGCGUAAAGAGCGCGCAGGUGGUUGAUUAAGUCUGAUGUGAAAGCCCACGGCUUAACCGUGGAGGGUCAUUGGAAACUGGUCGACUUGAGUGCAGAUGAGGGAAGUGGAAUUCCAUGUGUAGCGGUGAAAUGCGUAGAGAUAUGGAGGAACACCAGUGGCGAAGGCGGCUUCCUGGUCUGUAACUGACACUGAGGCGCGAAAGCGUGGGGAGCAAACAGGAUUAGA